RNAcentral lists this ribosomal RNA (1466 nucleotides) under uncultured Bordetella sp. Its description in RNAcentral is "partial 16S-23S ribosomal RNA intergenic spacer". It matches the Rfam family "Bacterial small subunit ribosomal RNA". The record is from RNAcentral. Lineage: Bacteria; Pseudomonadati; Pseudomonadota; Betaproteobacteria; Burkholderiales; Alcaligenaceae.
AGUUUAAAUUCAUCAGGGUGGAGCAUGGCAGCAGGAUCUUUACACAUGCAAGUCGAACGCACGGACUUCGGUCUGGUGGCGAGUGGCGAACGGGUAGGUAAUCAUCAGAACGUGCUAGUAGCGAAGUAGCUACGCGAAAGCGUAGCUAAUACCGUCGCCCUUCAGGAAAGCAGGGGACCCUUCGGGCCUCGCACUAUUAGAGCAGCCACGAUAUCGGACAACUAGUUGGUGGGGUAACGGCUCUGAGGCGACGAUCCGUAGCUGGUUUGAGAGGACGACCAGCCACUGGGACUGAGACACGGCCCGGAAGCUCUACAGGAGAGCAGCAGUGGGGGAAUUUUGGACAAUGGGGGAAACCUGAUCAGCCAUCCAUGACAAUGUGCGAUGAAGGCCUUCAGGUUGUAAACCUUUUGGCCAGGAAGAAAACGGCACGGGAUAAUACCCGUACAACUGACGAAGUACCAUAGACAGCACCGGCUAACUACGAUGCCCACUAGCAGCCGCGGUAGCAUACGUAGGUGCAAGCGUUAAUCAGGUACUGGAGCGUGGCGUGCGCAGGCGGUUCCGGAAAGAAAAGAUGUAAAUCCAAACUGCUGAGAACUGCAUUUUUAACUGCCGAGCUAGAGUGUGUCAGAAAGGUGAAUUCCGCGGUAGCAGCAGUGAAAUGCGUAGAUAUGCAGAGAACCUGAUGGCGAAGGCAGCCUCUGGGAUAACACUGACAGCUCCAUGCACGAAAGCGUGGGGAGCGACAGGAUUGGACCCUGGUAGUCCGCCCUAAACGAUGUCAACUAGCUGUUGGGGCCUUCGGGCCUUGGUAGCGCAGCUAACGCGUGAAGUUGUGACCGCCUGGGGGAGUACGGUCGCAAGAUUAAAACUCAAAGGAAUUGACGGGGACCCGCACGGCAGUGGAUGAUGUGGAUUAAUUCGAUGCAACGCGAAAACCUUACCUACCAUGACGCCAUUAUUGGAAUCCAGAAGAAGAUUUGGGGAAUUGCUCUUGAAGAGAACAGACUACACAGGUGCUGCAUGGCUGUCGUCAGCUCGUGUCGUGAGAUGUUAGGUUGAUCCACAACGAGCGCAACCACUUGUCGUGGAUUUGCUGCGAAGGGCACUCUAAUGAGACUGCCGGUGGCAAACCGGAAGAUGAGGAUGACGUCAAGUCCUCAUAGCCCUAUGGGUAGGGCUUCACACGUCAUACAAUGGUCGGGACAAGAGGGUCGCCAACCCGCGAGGAGCCAAUCCCAGAAACCCGAUCGUAGUCCGGAUCGCAGUCUGCAACUCGACUGCGUGAAGUCGGAAUCCUUCGACAUCGCGGAUCAGCAUGUCGCGGUGAAUACGUUCCCGGGUCUUGUACACACCGCCGAAUACACCAUGGGAGUGGGUUUUACAGAAGUAGUUAGCCUAACCGUAAGGAGGGCGAUUACCACAGUAGGAUUCAUGACUGGGGUGAAGUCGUAACAAGGUAA